UUCAAUAUCCAUCGAUUGAAUUGUAUGCUGUACUCGGAAAGAUUACCGAAUUUCUUUUCGAUUUUUGCAAGAUCAUCUGCCAUCGUGCAGUCACAACAAAAUCGCGCAUGCAACUGAAUCGAGGAUUCGGUGCAUUGUAUUUAUCUAACGCUUGCGCAUACUUUGUCAAAGGAUAUGCGCCGAUCGAUUUGAUACAGUUAAUGAAACUUAUCAGUCAUUUUGUAUUCCACGCCAGAUCGUAUAAUAAUCAUAAUCAGAUUAAAAAUAUCUUUAUCAGUGAUGGUAAUGAAAUUUGCGAAUCAUCUGUGUAAUAUAUCAAUGUGCGAUCAACCAAAUUAUUUUCAACAAAAAAAAAUAUACAAAACUGAUUAUAAAUUUUGGAAACGAAAAUCUUAACAAAUAUAUCUAAAUUUGGAAAAUAGCAUACCGCAAGAAUGCAAUAGCUAAACAUGCAUAUACUCAAUAUAUUCUUGAACAUUUCCAUGAAGCAUAUUGGGCUCAAUAGAUGUUCAGUACGUUCUAGGAAACUUUAGUUAAUAUGUAAUUAGAGAAAAUCUCUAAAGAGAGAUAGAUAAAUAGAUAAAAAGAAAACGACAGUAGAAACAGAAAGAAACUAUAUAAAAAAUGUUACCUUAGAAUUCUCAAAUGAUGUUCGAUGAUUACACUUAUUUCAUCAAUGCGUACAUUUUUAUUUUCUUCUUGUGAUUGAUUUACAAAUUCUUCAAUCCACGUAAUCAUUAUAGUUAAUUGACCAAUAGCAUGAUAUGCAAAUACUGUAGCAAGACUGAAAGCGAUAACAACAGUAGCACUACUUGUGUAUGACGUCAGGUAUUGCAAACUAAGAAUGAUGGCGUGUCCUGGAUUAGUAUCAACCGGAAUUUUAUAUGUUGGAAAUGAUUAUUGAUCAAACUUCGUUACAAAAAUUCCAAACUGUUCACAAUUGAUAAUUAUAAUAAAAAAAACCAAAUUGUAAGCAUUUGAAUAAUGGAAUAUAUCACAAAUUCAACCAAGUAUCAAAUCCACGAUUUCAAAGGACAAAAUGAUACUGUUGAAUCAUCAGAGAUUGAAUUUUCUCAGUGAAAAGAGAAGAAUUAUCUAUUAAUAAUCGAUCGAUAUUAACAAUUAACAAUUUAUUUGGAUAUCCAAUCUCUACUAUAAAUGGAUGGCGAGUUUUGAUAGUAAUGAAAUUUGGAUCAUCUGUAUAGUACAUCAACAUGCGACCAACCAAAUUAUUUUCAAUAAAAAAAUACAUAACACUAAUUAUAAAUUUUGGAAACAAAAAUCUUAAUAAAUAUAAUUAAAUUUGCAAAAAUAGCAUACCGCAAGAAUGCAAUAGCUAAACAUGCAUAUACUCAAUAUAUUCUUGAACAUUUCCAUGAAGCAUAUUGGGCUCAAUAGAUGUUCAGUACGUUCUAGGAAACUUUAGUUAAUAUGUAAUUAGAGAAAAUUUCUAGAGAGAGAUAGAUAAAUAGAUAAAAAGAGAAAGAUAAUAGAAACAGGAAGAAACUAUACUUAAAAAUGUUACCUUAGAAUUCUCAAAUGAUGCUCGAUGAUUACACUUAUUUCAUCAAUGUGUACAUUUUUAUUUUCUUUUUGUGGCUGAUUUACAAAUUCUUGGAUCCACGUAACCAUUAUAGUUAACUGACCAAUAGCAUGACAUGCAAAUACUGUAGCAAGGCUGAAAGCGAUAACAACAGUAGCACUCAUUAUGUAUGACGUCAGAUAUUGCAAACCAAGAAUGAUGGCAUGCCCUGGAUUAGUAUCAACUGGAAUUUUAUAAGUUGGAAAUGAUUAUUGUAAAGAAGCACGAAACAAAUCAGCUGGAAUGUUCUUAAUGCAUUUACGCGAAACAAAAAUGUAAUAUUUAAUUGAAAAAUCUAAGAGAAUAAUUUUGAUCUUUGAAUCAAGAUCUUCUAUUUUGUUGAGGAAAAUGCAUAAAACGCAGGUAUUAUUAGGAGGAAACGUAAAUUGUAUUGCAAGCUAUAAAUGUUAUUCAUUCAUCCUCAAGCAAUUCAGUCUGUACACUGCUAGUGCAGUUGAAGUCUCCUCCUAACCACCAGUUGAUUCGAUCAUAAGAAAGGUAUGUAUGUAUAAAUUUAUUAACAAUAAGUGCAAAUGUUCGAUGAAAUUUUUACAAAUAUUUAUUUUCG
Apis florea (little honeybee) is the source of this 2150-nucleotide long non-coding RNA. Lineage: Eukaryota; Metazoa; Arthropoda; Insecta; Hymenoptera; Apidae. The record is from RefSeq and is a predicted model, not a curated record.